RNAcentral lists this long non-coding RNA (204 nucleotides) under Ananas comosus (pineapple). RNAcentral describes it as "long non-coding RNA (ACOM_LNC036953)". Lineage: Eukaryota; Viridiplantae; Streptophyta; Magnoliopsida; Poales; Bromeliaceae. The record is from RNAcentral.
UUAGUAGUUUACCCCUUUUAUCAUCUUUGUAUUUGAUGAUUUAAGAUGUUGAUGUGUAAAGCAAAGUAAAGAAAAGAAUGUAAUGUUCAUUUUGAGGUAAAUGUAAUGUAAAAGAAAUGAUGAAAGAAUGUAAAGAUUUUGGAUGUACAAGUUGGAUAGAUACAACGUAUGUGAUCAAAAUGAAUCAUAGUACUAGUUGAAUGU